Non-coding RNA from Pelobates cultripes (western spadefoot toad), 350 nucleotides. The record is from the annotation of a GenBank genome assembly. Lineage: Eukaryota; Metazoa; Chordata; Amphibia; Anura; Pelobatidae.
GUGCUAUAUAAGAACUGUCAAAUAAAUGCCUUGGUGAAAGGAUGGUACACUGAUCACAUUAAAAUCACCUGCCUAAUAUCGUGUAGGACACUUGUGCUCCCAAAACAGCUCUGAUGUGUCAAGGCAUGGACUCCACAAAACUUCUCAAAGUGUCCUGUGGUAUCUGGCUUCAAGACUUUAGCCCAAAUCCCAGUUGAUCUAGCUCUUGGUGGUUGACAGGAGUCAUCAUGGGCACUCUGACCAGUCUGCAGCUAUGCUGCCCCAUACACAGUAAACUGUGACGUAUUGUGUUCGGACAUCUCUCUAACAUGGCCAGCAUAUGUACAUGCAUCAAUUAGUCUUGGGCGCCC